CAGUAGCCGCGGGAAAACGAGGGGUGCAAGCGUUACUCGGAUUGAUUGGGUGUAAAGGGUGUGCAGACGGCUUAUUAAGUCACUUGUUAAAUUCUUCGGCCUAACUGAAGGUCUGCAAGUGAUACUGAUGAGCUAGAGGGUGGAAGAGAGAAGUGGAAUUCUCGGAGUAGCGGUAAAAUGCGUAGAUCUCGAGAGGAACACCAAUGGCGAAGGCAGCUUCUUGGUCCAUUCCUGACGUUCAUACACGAAAGCGUGGGGAGCAAAUGGGAUUAGAUACCCCGGUAGUCCCUGUCUCUUAUAA
Molecule: ribosomal RNA, 301 nt
Filed under: uncultured bacterium
Lineage: Bacteria
Description: partial 16S ribosomal RNA
Rfam family: Bacterial small subunit ribosomal RNA
Source: RNAcentral